Long non-coding RNA from Neltuma alba, 388 nucleotides. RefSeq lists it as uncharacterized. The record is from RefSeq and is a predicted model, not a curated record. Lineage: Eukaryota; Viridiplantae; Streptophyta; Magnoliopsida; Fabales; Fabaceae. The transcript has 2 exons.
UUGUAGACCCAGCAAUGUUGUUUGGAACGGAAUACAAGGACCGCUGAAAUCUUUGAAAGCUGAUCAUACCAUUAAAGCUCUCAGAUGUAGAUGGUCUCUAUCCAGUGAGACAAAGAAAUUGCCAUCUUCCCCCAAAAAAAAAAAAAAAAAUUGUCAACUGUCCUCCUAAGCUUCAGAAGAAGUGUCUGACAAUGUGUGCAGUGUUGGUGCAUCCAGAAGAAAUAGCCUAAAAAACAGUCCAAUGUUUAUUUUAGUUUCUUGUAUGGACCGAAAGAUAUGUAAUUUGUGGGUAUUGUAUCAUUUAAUAUGUGAGAGCUGAAUUAUGUGUAUGUAAUGCAGUAUUUGUAAAAGUGGUUUUGAAAUGGAUAAAAGGUUAUAGGUUUUUCCA